AUACGUAGGGGGCAAGCGUUGUCCGGAAUUAUUGGGCGUAAAGGGCGUGCAGGCGGCCGUCCAAGUCUGAUGUGAAAGUGCGGGGCUUAACCCCGUAAAGCAUUGGAAACUGGGCGGCUUGAGUGCAGGAGAGGAAAGUGGAAUUCCUAGUGUAGCGGUGAAAUGCGUAGAGAUUAGGAAGAACACCAGUGGCGAAGGCGACUUUCUGGACUGUAACUGACGCUGAGGCGCGAAAGCGUGGGGAGCGAACAGGAUUAGAUACCCUGGUAGUCCACGCCGUAAACGAUGAGUGCUAGGUGUAGAGGGUAUCGACCCCCUCUGUGCCGCAGUUAACACAAUAAGCACUCCGCCUGGGGAGUACGACCGCAAGGUUGAA
This 376-nucleotide ribosomal RNA is filed under the name uncultured bacterium. RNAcentral describes it as "bacterial SSU rRNA". It matches the Rfam family "Bacterial small subunit ribosomal RNA", at positions 523 to 898 of the family's 1533-position model. The record is from RNAcentral.